UAGUAACUGAGAGGAGAUGGACACACA
Molecule: non-coding RNA, 27 nt
Filed under: Rattus norvegicus (Norway rat)
Lineage: Eukaryota; Metazoa; Chordata; Mammalia; Rodentia; Muridae
Source: RNAcentral